This 484-nucleotide ribosomal RNA is filed under the name uncultured bacterium. RNAcentral's name for it is "partial 16S ribosomal RNA". It matches the Rfam family "Bacterial small subunit ribosomal RNA", at positions 30 to 507 of the family's 1533-position model. The record is from RNAcentral.
AUUGAACGCUGGCGGCAGGCCUAACACAUGCAAGUCGAGCGGAUGAAGGGAGCUUGCUCCUGGAUUCAGCGGCGGACGGGUGAGUAAUGCCUAGGAAUCUGCCUGGUAGUGGGGGAUAACGUCCGGAAACGGGCGCUAAUACCGCAUACGUCCUGAGGGAGAAAGUGGGGGAUCUUCGGACCUCACGCUAUCAGAUGAGCCUAGGUCGGAUUAGCUAGUUGGUGGGGUAAAGGCCUACCAAGGCGACGAUCCGUAACUGGUCUGAGAGGAUGAUCAGUCACACUGGAACUGAGACACGGUCCAGACUCCCUCGGGAGGCAGCAGUGGGGAAUAUUGGACAAUGGGCGAAAGCCUGAUCCAGCCAUGCCGCGUGUGUGAAGAAGGUCUUCGGAUUGUAAAGCACUUUAAGUUGGGAGGAAGGGCAGUAAGUUAAUACCUUGCUGUUUUGACGUUACCAACAGAACAAGCACCGGCUAACUUCGUG